AUAAUCAUUAGUCUUUUAAUUAAGGAAUGGAAUGAAUGGCUAAACGUAGUAUUUUUUUAUUAAAUAUAUAAUGAGAAAUAGAAUUUUAAGUUAAAAUGCUUAAAUUAGUAAAUAGACGAUAAGACCCUAUAGAGUUUAAAAUUAAUAGCAUAAUUAUAUUUUUUAUAAAUUAAUUAUACAAUAUAAUUUUUUAUUGGGGCAAUAAAAGAAUAAUUAAAACUUCUUUAUAAAAAUUUAAAUAAUAUUAAAUAACUUAUUUUAAAAAUUGAAUAAAAAAUUACCUUAGGGAUAACAGCGUAAUUAAUUUGGAGAGUCCAUAUUGAUAAAAUAGAUUACGACCUCGAUGUUGAAUUAAAAUUUUUUUAUAGGGCAGCUUUUAUAAAAAAUAGUCUGUUCGACUAUUAAAUUUUUACAUGAUUUGAGUUCAAAUCGGCGUGA
Molecule: ribosomal RNA, 438 nt
Filed under: Desoria trispinata
Lineage: Eukaryota; Metazoa; Arthropoda; Collembola; Entomobryomorpha; Isotomidae
Description: partial 16S ribosomal RNA
Rfam family: Bacterial large subunit ribosomal RNA (bases 288-438)
Source: RNAcentral